UGUGAAGCAGAAUUCACCAAGCGUUGGAUUGUUCACCCAUAAAAAGGGAACGUGAGCUGGGUUUAGACCGUCGCGAGACAGGUUAGUUUUACCCUACUGUUGACAGUUAUUGUCGUUGAUACAGCAGUCCUGCUCAGUACGAGAGGAACGGCAGGUCCGGACAUAUGGUUCCGCUCUUGGUCGAUCGGCCAGUGGAGCGAGGCUACGUCCGUGGGAUUAUGCCUGAAAGCCUCUAAGGCAGAAUCCCGGCUGGAUGACCAACGAUACCGCGUACGGCUUGCAUCGGGAUGGUCACCAUUGAGUUGUAUCGAGAGAUUUGUUCUC
RNAcentral lists this ribosomal RNA (324 nucleotides) under Streptococcus pneumoniae. RNAcentral's name for it is "partial 23S ribosomal RNA". It matches the Rfam family "Eukaryotic large subunit ribosomal RNA", at positions 2901 to 3221 of the family's 3401-position model. The record is from RNAcentral. Lineage: Bacteria; Bacillati; Bacillota; Bacilli; Lactobacillales; Streptococcaceae.